AUUGAACGCUAGCGGGAGGCCUUACACAUGCAAGUCGAACGGAGUGGCGAACGGGUGAGUAAUGUAUCGGAACGUGCCCAGUAGCGGGGGAUAACUACGCGAAAGCGUAGCUAAUACCGCAUACUAUUGGAGCGGCCGAUAGCGGCUUAGCUAGUUGGUGGGGUAACGGCGCACCAAGGCGACGAUCCGUAGCUGGUUUGAGAGGACGACCAGCCACACUGGUACUGAGACCCGGCCCAGACUCCUACGUGAGGACGCAGUUGGGAAUUUUGGACAAUGGGGGAAACCCUGAUCCAGCCAUCCCCCGUGUGCUCUGAAGGCCUUCGGGUUGUAAAGCACUUUUGGCAGGAAAGCGGUACCUGCAGAAUAAGCACCGGCUAACUACGUGCCAGCAGCCGCGGUAAUUC
RNAcentral lists this ribosomal RNA (407 nucleotides) under uncultured bacterium. RNAcentral's name for it is "partial 16S ribosomal RNA". It matches the Rfam family "Bacterial small subunit ribosomal RNA", at positions 30 to 526 of the family's 1533-position model. The record is from RNAcentral.